Molecule: ribosomal RNA, 440 nt
Filed under: uncultured bacterium
Lineage: Bacteria
Description: partial 16S ribosomal RNA
Rfam family: Bacterial small subunit ribosomal RNA
Source: RNAcentral
CCUACGGGAGGCAGCAGUGGGGAAUAUUGCACAAUGGGGGAAACCCUGAUGCAGCGACGCCGCGUGAGUGAAGAAGUAAUUCGUUAUGUAAAGCUCUAUCAGCAGGGAAGAAAAUGACGGUACCUGAGUAAGAAGCCCCGGCUAACUACGUGCCAGCAGCCGCGGUAAUACGUAGGGGGCAUGCGUUAUCCGGAUUUACUGGGUGUAAAGGGAGCGUAGACGGCAGUGCAAGUCUGGAGUGAAAGGCGGGGGCUCAACCCCCGGACUGCUCUGGAAACUGGACGGCUGGAGUGCAGGAGAGGUAAGUGGAAUUCCUAGUGUAGCGGUGAAAUGCGUAGAUAUUAGGAGGAACACCAGUGGCGAAGGCGGCUUACUGGACUGUAACUGACGUUGAGGCUCGAAAGCGUGGGGAGCGAACAGGAUUAGAUACCCUAGUAGUC